UACGUAGGUGGCAAGCGUUGUCCGGAAUUAUUGGGCGUAAAGCGCGCGCAGGCGGUCCUUUAAGUCUGAUGUGAAAGCCCACGGCUCAACCGUGGAGGGUCAUUGGAAACUGGGGGACUUGAGUACAGAAGAGAAGAGUGGAAUUCCACGUGUAGCGGUGAAAUGCGUAGAGAUGUGGAGGAACACCAGUGGCGAGGGCGACUCUUUGGUCUGUAACUGACGCUGAGGCGCGAAAGCGUGGGGAGCAAACAGG
RNAcentral lists this ribosomal RNA (253 nucleotides) under uncultured bacterium. Its description in RNAcentral is "partial 16S ribosomal RNA". It matches the Rfam family "Bacterial small subunit ribosomal RNA", at positions 524 to 776 of the family's 1533-position model. The record is from RNAcentral.